Thamnophis sirtalis is the source of this 1261-nucleotide long non-coding RNA. RefSeq lists it as uncharacterized. The record is from RefSeq and is a predicted model, not a curated record. Lineage: Eukaryota; Metazoa; Chordata; Lepidosauria; Squamata; Natricidae.
UUUAUUGAAACAUUUAAAACAAUUAAGAAAGCACAAUUCACUAACUUCUACAUUGUUUAACAUGUCGGCAUUAUAAUGUAUGGACCCGGGUGCACCCUUAUUGGCGGUUAAUAAUUCUGAUUUUUCAGAAGCAGCAUUUCAAAAUAAUUCGUUGCUGAAGUUCUCCUAGGGACAAUUGAUUGUCUGACUAAAUGAUACUCGUUUUCCAACCUGGUGCCCUCCGAUGCCUACGCUAGCUGAAUAGUCUGCAAAUUAUAAUCCCAGGAACACCCAGAGGGCACCAGAUUAGAAAAUGCUGCUGUAGGCAUACAAGAUUCAUCAUAUGAGCUGGUUGGACUAAUGUUUUUUUUCCCCCCUAAACCAGGCAACCUAACUGAGGAUGAAAGAAUUAAAGAAUCAUCUCAGGUCAUGAGGAUGGAGGGGGAGGAAAGAAGGGAGGGACGUGGCAGUCACAUGUCCACUGCAUAAUCAGAUUUCAAGCUUCAGUGCAGAGAGCUGUGCAGCUACACCAAAACAACAGGAGAGCAUAUUGGAGCAUGUCAGCAAUAAACCUGCCUUUGUAACUGAACAGCCACCAAUGUUGUUACCUAAUCCCAAGGGGCGUGUGGUCAAUUUCCAAUUUAUCUCUUGUUGUGUUUGUAUUUUCAAAAGGUAUCCCAGGAUACCUCAGUGGCAUUCACAGUAGCACACUCCCUCUAUUUGGAAAAAGCCCAAUGUCGUAUCUAACUCAUGCAAUGAGAAUGCAGAAGUACCUUUUUUCCCUAGAGAAAUAUGCCUACAGUUGCCAUAAACAUUAGAAUCCAUAUGUUUGGAAUGGGCACAUGAGCAGCUGGAAAAUCUCUUUGCCCCUGAAGCUGCUAACUACUUCUGUAGUUGCUACUUGCAGUUACUUGUGCAAAUCUGUCCUUCAGUGUGAUGUGCUCUUUGAAGUGUGAGAGAUCAGGAACCAGAGAAGACAGCUUCAAAUGCAAAAAGAGAGGCCAUAUUCUGAGGCACAGCCAGAAAAGAUCACAGAAUUUUAAUAAAAGAACAAAGUAUAUCUGGUUCUCCUAAUGCUGCAGGAUCCUGCCUCUCCAGUGAAAUCAGAUGAAGAGGCUUCUUUGUAUAUUCCCUUUAUAUCUAUUCCUCUUUUAAUCGGAAUAGAGGACAGAACCCUUCUGUCUCAUGAAGUCUGUUUAACAGUUUCCUUAUGUAUCAUAUUGUUUCUUUGAAAGCUAUUUGUUUCACAGCUGUUUAAAAGUUAAUCUGAUUAAUAAUGUUA